GCGUUCCAAUUCAGAAAAUCACCAAACAGAAAAAGAAAAAAAAAUAUAGCCGAAUUUUCAUUUUCGAGGGUCCAAGAAAUUAACAGAAUAAAAUUUCCUCACUGAAUUUUCGAAGAAAAAAGGAAAAUACAGAGAGCGAGAAAAUUAUCCGAAAAUAGAGAAGGGAGGUUAAAGAUAUUUGGUUUCCAUUUUCUGGCAAAAAGAUACCAACACCUCGUCUCUCUUUUCACUUUAUUCUUCAGCUUUGGCUUCUCUUAGGGUUUUUGAGCUUGACGAUUCUUCCAGUUUUGACUGCCUCUGAGACUUAUUGCGUCAGAGAAUUGAACCCUCCGGGUUUCGCCGUCUGGUGUGGAAACUGCUUUUUCGGAGCCACUUCAGGUACUUGCACGUGGUUCCUCACUGAACAAAUUCCUUUAUAGAGCGUCGUCUAGAGUUGGUUGAAUGAAAUCAGUAUAGGCAGCAUGGAUGA
Molecule: non-coding RNA, 469 nt
Organism: Prunus avium (sweet cherry)
Lineage: Eukaryota; Viridiplantae; Streptophyta; Magnoliopsida; Rosales; Rosaceae
Source: RefSeq, a predicted model, not a curated record